This 468-nucleotide ribosomal RNA is filed under the name uncultured bacterium. RNAcentral's name for it is "partial 16S ribosomal RNA". It matches the Rfam family "Bacterial small subunit ribosomal RNA", at positions 28 to 507 of the family's 1533-position model. The record is from RNAcentral.
GACGAACGCCUGCUUCUUUCUUAACACAUUCAAGUCGAACGGAAAGGCCCUGCUUUUGUGGGGUGCUCGAGUGGCGAACGGGUGAGUAACACGUGAGUAACCUGCCCUUGACUUUGGGAUAACUUCAGGAAACUGGGGCUAAUACCGGAUAGGAGCUCCUGCUGCAUGGUGGGGGUUGGAAAGUUUCGGCGGUUGGGGAUGGACUCGCGGCUUAUCAGCUUGUUGGUGGGGUAGUGGCUUACCAAGGCUUUUCCGGGUAUGCGGCCUGAGAGGGUGACCGGCCACAUUGGGACUGCGAUACGGCCCAGACUCCUACGGGAGGCAGCAGUGGGGAAUAUUGCACAAUGGGCGGAAGCCUGAUGCAGCAACGCCGCGUGCGGGAUGAAGGCAUUCGGGUUGUAAACCGCUUUCGCCUGUGACGAAGCGUGAGUGACGGUAAUGGGUAAAGAAGCACAGGCUAAAUACGGG